This 237-nucleotide ribosomal RNA is filed under the name Triticum aestivum (bread wheat). RNAcentral's name for it is "partial small subunit ribosomal RNA". The record is from RNAcentral. Lineage: Eukaryota; Viridiplantae; Streptophyta; Magnoliopsida; Poales; Poaceae.
AUGCUCGUUCGCUCAAACCAGCAUCGAGUACUUGGGGCACGUGAUCUCCAAGGACGGAGUCGCCACCGACAUGACCAAGACCAGCGCCAUGCAGGCCUGGCCCAUGCCCACGACGGCCACCGAGCUCCGCGGGUUCCUCGGCCUGACUGGUUACUACCGCAAAUUUGUACCUCACUAUGGCAUCAUCACGAAGCCGCUUACCCAGCUCCUGACGAAGAAAGGAUUCGUCUGGAAUGA